AAAAAAAAAAAAAAAAAAUUGAAGUGUCUAUUAGGCAAAAACACAAUAAUUCAACUGUUUGGGAAUGCAUUUGGCUUAUAUAAUAAAAUGAAAUAAAUGUCAUGAUGCAUGAAUGUACUUGCAUAAAACAAUUUAAAUUUAUUUAAAAGAAAUUUAAAGUGUGUUCUACUCACUGACCAAUUAACUUGACUACUAUUAGUUUGGCUAGAAUUGAGACACGUCCAUUUCGGCUCACUUAUAUAGACAUGCUAACAUACUAUUAAACAACUAACAAUUAUAGAAAUAGAAUUUUAAUCCUAGGGAUUUGCUAGCAUUUCGACAAAGUCGCCUCUAUACCUAGGAUUAAACCUCCCUACAAAGCAACAACAUGGCCUCGAGCCCACAACAACAUUAUAUUGCCCAUUUGGGGCCUGCUAGAACACAUAAUCUAAGUAUGGGUCUCCAAGUCUACCUCAGGUUUCUAAUUCCUUUGCAGUCAAAUUAAUUAUGUCCAUAGCUCUAAUGAUUAUGAAAAAAUUUCUGAAAAUCCUUUACAUCAUCCUUUUAUCAAUUAAACUCAUUAUAGUUAACUUCACUAAGUCAAAAAUAUUUUAUUAAUUAAUUGGCCAUUCAAGUUCUAGGUCCAAAUUACCUAAGUUGAUUUCAUACUUACAAUUGUUGAUUCUGCUACCUGAAAUGCGUAUGAAGUGUCUAAAAAUGCUGGAAAUGAGUACAAUAUUGGCUACCUUUUAGGACAACCCACAGGGAGCUUCGAUCUAUCCUAAAUACGGUCCCAUUACUGGAAGCCUAUCACCUAUUUAAAGGUACCUACAUGAAACCCAAAACAAGUCAAUCACUAUGGUUAGUUAGUUUUCAAAAAUAACGGUCCAAAGGGACUGAAAUCUUACUGAUCGAUCUCGGGCAUCUGAUGAGCAACUUUUUUGUUCUGUGUUUGAUCGAGGCAUGGUUAGCAUAAAAUCAAAGCUUGCUUCAAGAGGAGUCCAUCAAUGGUUUCGAAUCAUUUGGGCAACGACUGAAUUGGUUGGAAGCUGAUAAAAAAUUUACGGAGGAGAGAGAUUUUCCUUCUCCUCAAUUCCGAUGAUGGAUGGUGGCGAGGAAGGGCUCUUUCAUCUUGUCUUAGGACUGCAAGGUGAUCAAAAUUGUUAGUGCCAGAAGAGUGAAAUUCUGGCCAAGUUGGGUUGUAGAAUUGUAACUCAACUCUCUCUCUCUCUCUCUCU
This 1217-nucleotide unclassified non-coding RNA is filed under the name Hevea brasiliensis (rubber tree). The record is from RNAcentral. Lineage: Eukaryota; Viridiplantae; Streptophyta; Magnoliopsida; Malpighiales; Euphorbiaceae.